This 495-nucleotide ribosomal RNA is filed under the name uncultured bacterium. RNAcentral's name for it is "partial 16S ribosomal RNA". It matches the Rfam family "Bacterial small subunit ribosomal RNA", at positions 29 to 506 of the family's 1533-position model. The record is from RNAcentral.
AUGCACGCUGGCGGCGUGCCUAAUACAUGCAAGUCGAGCGAACAGACGAGGAGCUUGCUCCUCUGACGUUAGCGGCGGACGGGUGAGUAACACGUGGAUAACCUACCUAUAAGACUGGGAUAACUUCGGGAAACCGGAGCUAAUACCGGAUAAUAUAUUGAACCGCAUGGUUCAAUAGUGAAAGACGGUUUUGCUGUCACUUAUAGAUGGAUCCGCGCCGCAUUAGCUAGUUGGUAAGGUAACGGCUUACCAAGGCAACGAUGCGUAGCCGACCUGAGAGGGGGAUCGGCCACACUGGAACUGAGAAACGGUCCAGACUCCUACGGGAGGCAGCAGUAGGGAAUCUUCCGCAAUGGGCGAAAGCCUGACGGAGCAACGCCGCGUGAGUGAUGAAGGUCUUCGGAUCGUAAAACGCUGUUAUUAGGGAAGAACAAAUGUGUAAGUAACUAUGCACGUCUUGACGGUACCGAAUCAGAAAGCCACGGCUAACUACGU